RNAcentral lists this ribosomal RNA (468 nucleotides) under uncultured bacterium. RNAcentral describes it as "partial 16S ribosomal RNA". It matches the Rfam family "Bacterial small subunit ribosomal RNA", at positions 28 to 507 of the family's 1533-position model. The record is from RNAcentral.
GACGAACGCUGGCGGCGUGCUUAACACAUGCCAGUCGAACGGAAAGGCCCUGCUUUUGUGGGGUGCUCGAGUGGCGAACGGGUGAGUAACACGUGAGUAACCUGCCCUUGACUUUGGGAUUACUUCAGGAAACUGGGGCUAAUACCGGAUAGGAGCUCCUGCUGCAUGGUGGGGGUUGGAAAGUUUCGGCGGUUGGGGAUGGACUCGCGGCUUAUCAGCUUGUUGGUGGGGUAGUGGCUUACCAAGGCUUUGACGGGUAGCCGGCCUGAGAGGGUGACCGGCCACAUUGGGACUGAGAUACGGCCCAGACUCCUACGGGAGGCAGCAGUGGGGAAUAUUGCACAAUGGGCGGAAGCCUGAUGCAGCAACGCCGCGUGCGGGAUGACGGCCUUCGGGUUGUAAACCGCUUUCGCCUGUGACGAAGCGUGAGUGACGGUAAUGGGUAAAGAAGCACCGGCUAACUACGUG